UAGCACAGUGGUAGAGCACUUGCCUUACACGUAGGAGAUUCUGGGUUCAAUUCCCAG
RNAcentral lists this transfer RNA (57 nucleotides) under Cavia porcellus (domestic guinea pig). It matches the Rfam family "tRNA", at positions 8 to 63 of the family's 71-position model. From Rfam's summary of the family: Transfer RNA (tRNA) molecules are approximately 80 nucleotides in length. Lineage: Eukaryota; Metazoa; Chordata; Mammalia; Rodentia; Caviidae. The record is from Rfam by way of RNAcentral.